AGGCCCCAACCCCAUUUGGCUCUUAAUUUGAACUCCCUCAAAAAGUUCAUCUCUAUUAUUCCUUGAAAGAAACCCUAGCUUCCAUUACAGCAGCCACCUCGUUUUCUUCUUUAUGUUUGACAUCUUGCUCAUCACAAAUCUCCCCCAAGUAUCUGCACUCCACUCUGCAAAACGAAACCCAAAUGCUUGGUUUACGAAUCCAUUUCCACGGGUUGCCUUGAAGAUGCCAUUAGGAAGAUCGAUUUGUAGAUGUGGUGGGAUGCAAGGCUGCGAAUCUCACUACACUUCACCAUCACUAUCUCACCCCGAACCACCACCGUGUUACUCCAUCUCAGAACUCUUCCGUCUCGUACUGUUAUAUUAGUUGUUCAGUUGCGUGUUUUUUAGUUGUAGUUUGUAUUCGUUAUUCAGGUUCGGUUGUAUACGUACAUAUGUGUUGAGGUUUUGAUAAAUUUGUGAAAUUGUGCUUUGGAUUGUUUUGAUUUCAUGUUUGAUUUUCGAUUUGGUACCCUAUGGGUGGAAUCGGAAGAAUCGGUGCUCGAAUUUUUAUUUGACUGCUACUUCUCACAAUGGGAAUUUGGUGGUUGAACAAUUAGAGAGAGACGUUGCUGAGCUACCGCAGGCCCUUACUUGCAAACAGGAACGGGAGAAUGCCAUGCUUCAGGUUUUGAUGAGAGUAGAGCAAGAACAAAGGCCAAUCUCUCGGAUAUGACGAGCAAGAUGCUACAGCCUAGAGAUAUGCUGAAAUGGAGGAUAUACUUGUUAUGGCAGAAUUGAUGUCGGAGGCUUACCUUGCAAUACCAAUCUGGCCAACAUAAGGCACUACCUUCCCCAAGGUCAGAGAUGAAGCUUUCCUCAAAAGCAUUCUAAACUCUAUCGAGACUGUAGCAAGAGGAAGGGUCCAGAGCUUACCAAAUGAUCUAGUUGGUGGUACAGAGAUUGGACCAGAAUGGUGUGAGGUAAACGUUCAAGUACCAAUAAAAAAAAGAUGAAAACUUGGUAAGACCAGAUGGUUUAUUUUCUACAAUUCAAGAUUGUAUUGGUGCAUCCAUUGCAUGACCCUAUCCAUUCAUCUCGGUAGUCCAUGAGGAUUAAGGACACAUGAUGACUCAAGAUUUUAUACGUCUUAUUUCUUUAAUUGCUUUUAAUUUCUUUGUUAAAUGUUAAGAUUUUAUGUUAGAUAAUGUUAUAACUUAUUUAUGGUUAGUGUUUUUGGUAUGAA
Molecule: long non-coding RNA, 1222 nt
Organism: Helianthus annuus (common sunflower)
Lineage: Eukaryota; Viridiplantae; Streptophyta; Magnoliopsida; Asterales; Asteraceae
Exons: 5
Source: RefSeq, a predicted model, not a curated record